This 74-nucleotide transfer RNA is filed under the name Rubrobacter xylanophilus. RNAcentral describes it as "tRNA-Asn". It matches the Rfam family "tRNA". Rfam says of the family: Transfer RNA (tRNA) molecules are approximately 80 nucleotides in length. Their secondary structure includes four short double-helical elements and three loops (D, anti-codon, and T loops). The record is from RNAcentral. Lineage: Bacteria; Bacillati; Actinomycetota; Rubrobacteria; Rubrobacterales; Rubrobacteraceae.
UCCCCUGUAGCUCAAUGGCAGAGCAUCCGGCUGUUAACCGGAGGGUUGUAGGUUCGAAUCCUACCAGGGGAGCC